Molecule: ribosomal RNA, 175 nt
Filed under: uncultured bacterium
Lineage: Bacteria
Description: partial 16S ribosomal RNA
Rfam family: Bacterial small subunit ribosomal RNA
Source: RNAcentral
UGGAAUCGCUAGUAAUCGCGGAUCAGAAUGCCGCGGUGAAUACGUUCCCGGGUCUUGUACACACCGCCCGUCACACCAUGGGAGUCGGAAAUGCCCGAAGUCUGUGACCCAACCAUUAAGGAGGGAGCAGCCGAAGGCAGGUCGGAUGACUGGGGUGAAGUCGUAACAAGGUACC